GCGCCCAUAGCUCAGCUGGAUAGAGCGUCGGACUUCGAAUCCGGUGGUCGGGUGUUCGAAUCACUCUGGGCGCG
This 74-nucleotide transfer RNA is filed under the name Sandaracinaceae bacterium. RNAcentral describes it as "tRNA-Arg". It matches the Rfam family "tRNA". Rfam says of the family: Transfer RNA (tRNA) molecules are approximately 80 nucleotides in length. Their secondary structure includes four short double-helical elements and three loops (D, anti-codon, and T loops). Lineage: Bacteria; Pseudomonadati; Myxococcota; Polyangiales; Sandaracinaceae. The record is from RNAcentral.